UCCCCUUCGGGGGACAGGGUGACAGGUGGUGCAUGGUUGUCGUCAGCUCGUGUCGUGAGAUGUUGGGUUAAGUCCCGCAACGAGCGCAACCCUCGACCUUAGUUGCCAGCAUUCAGUUGGGCACUCUAAGGUGACUGCCGGCUAAAAGUCGGAGGAAGGUGGGGAUGACGUCAAAUCAUCAUGCCCCUUAUGACCUGGGCUACACACGUGCUACAAUGGGCGGUACAAAGGGUCGCGAACCCGUGAGGGGGAGCCAAUCCCAAAAAGCCGCUCUCAGUUCGGAUUGCAGGCUGCAACUCGCCUGCAUGAAGCCGGAAUCGCUAGUAAUCGCGGAUCAGCAUGCCGCGGUGAAUACGUUCCCGGGCCUU
Molecule: ribosomal RNA, 368 nt
Filed under: uncultured Anoxybacillus sp.
Lineage: Bacteria; Bacillati; Bacillota; Bacilli; Caryophanales; Anoxybacillaceae
Description: bacterial SSU rRNA
Rfam family: Bacterial small subunit ribosomal RNA
Source: RNAcentral